CGCGACCUAGCUCAGCUGGUAGAGCAUCUGCCCCGUAUGCGGAGGGUCGCGGUUCGAUUCGGCGCUCGCGG
Molecule: transfer RNA, 71 nt
Filed under: Fasciola gigantica
Lineage: Eukaryota; Metazoa; Platyhelminthes; Trematoda; Plagiorchiida; Fasciolidae
Rfam family: tRNA
About the family: Transfer RNA (tRNA) molecules are approximately 80 nucleotides in length. Their secondary structure includes four short double-helical elements and three loops (D, anti-codon, and T loops).
Source: Rfam by way of RNAcentral